GUUUAGGAUUGCCCAGGUAGAGCUUCAGCUGGAUCACGAAAUAGGAAACUAGGGCUGCAUUCCCAGCUGGUUGGAGUCCAUCCAGACUUGUGGAGUCCAGGGGGGCUGUGCUCUGCUCUGAAGGGGGCUGAAACUCUGCUCUGGCUGAAGUGGGGUACGGUGGCAUUGUGAAAAGAGCUAUCAGUGAAAUUCCUGGGCACAGAACAUUCUCCCAAAGGAAGAACAACCUCUGGCCUAUUGGCCUCCAGCCCAUUAUCUGAUUGUUCAAGUGGAGCAAGACGUUAACAUGAGCAUUGCACAAUUUGAUAGGAUAAGCAUUUGAAAGCCACGGUGGAUGCGGUGGGUUUUGUACUCAAUUGCAAAACUUUAUUUUGUACCUGUAACAAAUGAAAAAAAGAGGUCAUAUCUGCCAUCUUCUUUCACUGGACAGACCAGGAAACAGCCAUCUCCUGCAGGCAUUUGGCUGUGUCACCAUAUAUAAACACAAAGGAGACUUUGUGAGCUUUUCCCAAAGUGUCUCAAGCGGGCUGUGAGGUCCAAGAAACUCCUCCUGGAGCUUUUUACUGCUUUGGAUUUCUUAUCAUUUUCACCAAACAGGGACUGAAUCUCCGCACCAUUCCACCAUUGAAGUGAGAUUUUCCAACUGCCAGGGCUGUCUGCUCUUCCUGAAGGAUGUUGGAGAGAGAAGAACAGGAGGAAGCUCUAUAUUUUUCCAGUGCCAGACAAGGAGAUAUCAUUGCCUGCAUUGGAUGGAUUAGGGGAACAUUUCUUCUGCAGACAGAACCCUUAUAGAACCCAUUAUGGGCGUGUUUAUAUCUGUUCCUGGGAAGAUCUAACAUCUGCAACUUCCCUGGAUGGGCCAUCAAGCCUGGUGUGGCUGCUCCUGUUUCCCUGCAGUUCUUCCAAUAAAACUUGUCCAGGUCCAUUAACAGAAGCUGUAGAGUCAGGUGUGGGUCUGCUUUCCAGUGACAGGUCUGAGAAAGUGUAUCAUUUAAAAGGUAAAUAGUUUCCCCACAAACAGAGCCCAGCAGCAAAGGAGUUUAAUUCAUGGUAUAUAUCCUAACUCCAAAGGCUUGUCAAAUGCUGAGCUGUUAUCUCAGAGGAGGAGAUUACAACCACACACCUCAGCCUGAAUUGUAGCCAGAUUCAUCUGCUGGUGCAUUCCUGUUUUCACUGGGACUGACCAAGGAGGGCUGAUAGAUGAUGUCAUUCUGAUGAGUGAAAUCCUGACAUUUUAGAAAAUAGUGGGAGUUUUUGCCACUGGGUUUGCAAUGUAAUCAAAAUGCCAGCAUCUUGUGGGUCUGGGGCUACCACAAGAGGAAAUUUAACCAAAAUGUUUUGAAGAAUGCUCAGGCUCAUCUGGAUUUGAAUAUUGACUCUUCCUCCAUGAAAUCUGGUUGUGCUUAUUUAGCCCUUGUGCAGGGCUAAAUGUCUGCUCAUUGCCAUUUUUAGCAGGAGAGUUCUGCAAAGCUCAAAUCAUACUUCCAGGCAAAAAACCUAGGCUUUUCUAGUUCAAGAUAUCAGAAGACUUGGGUCACCAGGCUAUACAGGAAAGAGCAGACCAUCCCAUUUUUUUUUUCCUACUGGUACAUCUUGAAGAAGAAGUAAUAAUAAUAAUAUUAAUAAGUGAUGAUGAUGAAGAAGAAGAAGAAAAGGAAGAAGAACAACAAGAACAAGAACCACAAUAGGAGCUGUUCAGAACAAACAUCCAAACAGCAUAUUUUUCCCUUGCAGCAAGCCUUGAAAAUAAAAGGUUGCAAAACCCUUGGUACCUCCUGCUG
Parus major (Great Tit) is the source of this 1781-nucleotide long non-coding RNA. The record is from Ensembl. NCBI's taxonomy places the organism in Eukaryota, Metazoa, Chordata, Aves, Passeriformes, Paridae.